ACCUCCAACAUUGUCAUCUUAGGUUUCAAGCCAGACGCCAUUCUUUGGUGCACUGCUUCAUUGUCUUAUUACCUUGACCGAAAACACCUUUUUUUGCAUUACAGGAGUGGAAGACUCAGCGCUACGUUCAGAGGCGUUCGGCUGCUGAGUGCAGAAGUUGGUCAAGUGAUUUCAAAGCUUCCAGUUGGCCUCAAAGAAGAGUUUACCAGUAACCAUGUGGAUCGAUGAUGUGGCUCCUCAUAGAAUUCACCAACAUGACAAGACUUUGACACAGAUUUCGUCUGAGAUGAACCAGUUCAUCUGCUGAAGGCAACAAAGGUCACAUUUGUACAUCUGCAGUAAAGUUGAUUUCUUUAAUAGGCAAGAGGAAAGAAUAUUUUGUGUCAAGAGUUUUAAGAUUUAUGUUGGUGGUAAAAUCAUAAUGUUGUACAAGGUAUUGAAGAGAAACGCUGUUCAAAUAAAGAUUCUAAACACAUUUGCUGUAGUUGUAACUUGAUUGGCAGUCGGAAAUAAUUUUUUAGUUGGUGAAGAAAACAGUAGUUUACACAGUAAUGGUGUCCUGUGAUUAUUGUAGAACAAGAAAUUC
Molecule: long non-coding RNA, 586 nt
Filed under: Sander lucioperca (pikeperch)
Lineage: Eukaryota; Metazoa; Chordata; Actinopteri; Perciformes; Percidae
Description: lncRNA (ENSSLUG00000004088.1)
Source: RNAcentral